AGGGCACCACCAGGAGUGGAGUCUGCGGCUUAAUUUGACUCAACACGGGAAAACUCGCCCGGCCCGGACACUGGAAGGAUUGACAGAUUGAGAGCUCUUUCUUGAUUCAGUGGGUGGUGGUGCAUGGCCGUUCUUAGUUGGUGGAGUGAUUUGUCUGGUUAAUUCCGAUAACGAACGAGACUCUAGCCUACUAAAUAGAUCGUCGGCUUACAAACGCCGGCGAGACUUCUUAGAGGGACAGGCGGUGAUUCAACCGCACGAAACAGAGCAAUAACAGGUCUGUGAUGCCCUUAGAUGUCCGGGGCCGCACGCGCGCUACACUGAAGUGAUCAGCGUGCUUUUUCAACCUACUCUGUCAAGAGUGGGGAACCCAAUGAACCUUCUUCGUGAUUGGGAUAGGGGAUUGUAAUUAUUCCCCUUGAACGAGGAAUUCCCAGUAAGCGCGAGUCAUAGGCUCGCGUUGAUUACGUCCCUGCCCUUUGUACACACCGCCCGUCGCUACUACCGAUUGAAUGUUUU
RNAcentral lists this ribosomal RNA (519 nucleotides) under uncultured eukaryote. RNAcentral describes it as "SSU rRNA". It matches the Rfam family "Eukaryotic small subunit ribosomal RNA", at positions 1161 to 1699 of the family's 1831-position model. The record is from RNAcentral.